This 228-nucleotide long non-coding RNA is filed under the name Vigna radiata. Its description in RNAcentral is "long non-coding RNA (VRAD_LNC001475)". Lineage: Eukaryota; Viridiplantae; Streptophyta; Magnoliopsida; Fabales; Fabaceae. The record is from RNAcentral.
GACAACGGGUGGAAUAGAAAUAGAAAUGUCCACUUAGAACUCGCUAGGAUAAGCUCUAAUCAUGGCUCUGAUACCAUGUUAGAAGUGGGUUUUAAAAUAAUUCCAAUACUAAUACUUAUCAAUACAAAAAAUUUUAUGGUUAAAAUCAAUAUCAAUAAAGUUAGAAUUAUCUUCUCCAAAAUCUAAAUUCAAUACAUAAUACUUAAUCAUCUCAACAUUGUAUUUCUU